UACGAAGGGGGCUAGCGUUGCUCGGAAUCACUGGGCGUAAAGCGCACGUAGGCGGAUUGUUAAGUCAGGGGUGAAAUCCUGGAGCUCAACUCCAGAACUGCCUUUGAUACUGGCGAUCUCGAGUCCGGGAGAGGUGAGUGGAACUGCGAGUGUAGAGGUGAAAUUCGUAGAUAUUCGCAAGAACACCAGUGGCGAAGGCGGCUCACUGGCCCGGUACUGACGCUGAGGUGCGCAAGCGUGGGGAGCAAACAGG
This 253-nucleotide ribosomal RNA is filed under the name uncultured bacterium. RNAcentral's name for it is "partial 16S ribosomal RNA". It matches the Rfam family "Bacterial small subunit ribosomal RNA", at positions 524 to 776 of the family's 1533-position model. The record is from RNAcentral.